RNAcentral lists this ribosomal RNA (253 nucleotides) under uncultured bacterium. RNAcentral's name for it is "partial 16S ribosomal RNA". It matches the Rfam family "Bacterial small subunit ribosomal RNA", at positions 524 to 776 of the family's 1533-position model. The record is from RNAcentral.
UACGGGGGGUGCAAGCGUUGUUCGGAUUUACUGGGCGUAAAGGGCGCGUAGGCGGCACUGCAAGUCAGUUGUGAAAUCUCCGGGCUUAACCCGGAAAGGUCAACUGAUACUGCAGGGCUAGAGUGCAGAAGGGGCAACUGGAAUUCUCGGUGUAGCGGUGAAAUGCGUAGAUAUCGAAAGGAACACCUGCGGCGAAGGCGGGUUGCUGGGGUGACACUGACGCUGAGGCGCGAAAGCCAGGGGAGCGAACGGG